AUUGAACGCUGGCGGCAGGCCUAACACAUGCAAGUCGAGCGCGGGGCGGGCGGGUGAGUAGUAUCUGGGACUCCGCGUGAUGGAGGGGGAUAACCACGGGACAGGGUCGCUAAUACCGCAUACCAUGAGGUGCCCACAGAUGGGAUUAGCUAGUUGGUGGGGUAAGGGCACACCUAGGCGAAGAUCCCUAGCUGGUCUGAGAGGAGGACCGGCCACACUGGAACUGAGACACGGUCCAGACUCCUACGGGAGGCAGCAGUGGGGAAUAUUGCACAAUGGGCGCAAGCCUGAUGCAGCCAUGCCGCGUGUAUGAAGAAGGCCUUCGGGUUGUAAAGUACUUUCGGCGGGGAGGCGGUACCCGCAGAAUAAGCACCGGCUAACUACGUGCCAGCAGCCGCGGUAAUAC
This 406-nucleotide ribosomal RNA is filed under the name uncultured bacterium. Its description in RNAcentral is "partial 16S ribosomal RNA". It matches the Rfam family "Bacterial small subunit ribosomal RNA", at positions 29 to 526 of the family's 1533-position model. The record is from RNAcentral.